This 182-nucleotide ribosomal RNA is filed under the name Riemerella anatipestifer. RNAcentral's name for it is "partial 23S ribosomal RNA". It matches the Rfam family "Bacterial large subunit ribosomal RNA", at positions 52 to 250 of the family's 2925-position model. Lineage: Bacteria; Pseudomonadati; Bacteroidota; Flavobacteriia; Flavobacteriales; Weeksellaceae. The record is from RNAcentral.
AAGGACGUGGUAAGCUGCGAAAAGCUACGGGGAUUGGCACACACGAAUUGAUCCGUAGAUAUCCGAAUGGGGCAACCCAAUACAUUGAAGAUGUAUUACUGCGCAAGCAGAGCAAACCCGGAGAACUGAAACAUCUAAGUACCCGGAGGAAAAGAAAUCGAAGAGAUUCCGUAAGUAGUGGC